Molecule: ribosomal RNA, 468 nt
Filed under: uncultured bacterium
Lineage: Bacteria
Description: partial 16S ribosomal RNA
Rfam family: Bacterial small subunit ribosomal RNA
Source: RNAcentral
GACGAACGCUGGCGGCGUGCUUAACACAUGCAAGUCGAACGGAAAGGCCCUGCUUUUGUGGGGUGCUCGAGUGGCGAACGGGUGAGUAACACGUGAGUAACCUGCCCUUGACUUUGGGAUAACUUCAGGAAACUGGGGCUAAUACCGGAUAGGAGCUCCUGCUGCAUGGUGGGGGUUGGAAAGUUUCGGCGGUUGGGGUUGGACUCGCGGCUUAUCAGCUUGUUGGUGGGGUAGUGGCUUACCAAGGCUUUGACGGGUAGCCGGCCUGAGAGGGUGACCGGCCACAUUGGGCCUGAGAUACGGCCCAGACUCCUACGGGAGGCAGCAGUGGGGAAUAUUGCACAAUGGGCGGAAGCCUGAUGCAGCAACGCCGCGUGCGGGAUGACGGCCUUCGGGUUGUAAACCGCUUUAGCCUGUGACGAAGCGUGAGUGACGGUAAUGGGUAAAGAAGCACCGGCUAACUACGUG